UGACAGUACUCCUACGGGGAGGCAGCAGUCGGGGGAAUAUUGCACAAUGGGCGCAAGCCUGAUGCAGCCAUGCCGCGUGUAUGAAGAAGGCCUUCGGGUUGUAAAGGUACUUUCAGCAGUGAGGAAGGUGGAUAUGUUAAUAGCAUAUUCAUUUGACGUUAGCUGCAGAAGAAGCACCGGCUAACUCCGUGCCAGCAGCCGCGGUAAUACGGAGGGUGCGAGCGUUAAUCGGAAUUACUGGGCGUAAAGCGCAUGCAGGUGGUUUGUUAAGUCAGAUGUGAAAGCCCGGGGCUCAACCUCGGAAUUGCAUUUGAAACUGGCAAACUAGAGUACUGUAGAGGGGGGUAGGAAUUUCAGGUGUAGCGGUGAAAUGCGUAGAGAUCUGAAGGAAUACCGGUGGCGAAGGCGGCCCCCUGGACAGAUACUGACACUCAGAUGCGAAAGCGUGGGGAGCAAACAGGAUUAGAUACCCUGGUAG
Molecule: ribosomal RNA, 478 nt
Filed under: uncultured bacterium
Lineage: Bacteria
Description: bacterial SSU rRNA
Rfam family: Bacterial small subunit ribosomal RNA
Source: RNAcentral